RNAcentral lists this ribosomal RNA (506 nucleotides) under uncultured bacterium. RNAcentral's name for it is "partial 16S ribosomal RNA". It matches the Rfam family "Bacterial small subunit ribosomal RNA", at positions 29 to 523 of the family's 1533-position model. The record is from RNAcentral.
AUUGAACGCUGGCGGCAGGCCUAACACAUGCAAGUCGAACGGCAGCACAGAAGAGCUUGCUCUUUGGGAGGCGAGUGGCGGACGGGUGAGUAAUGUCUGGGAAACUGCCCGAUGGAGGGGGAUAACUACUGGAAACGGUAGCUAAUACCGCAUAACGUCGCGAGACCAAAGUGGGGGACCUUCGGGCCUCACACCAUCGGAUGUGCCCAGAUGGGAUUAGCUAGUAGGUGGGGAAAUGGCUCACCUAGGCGACGAUCCCUAGCUGGUCUGAGAGGAUGACCGGCCAAACUGGAACUGAGGCACGGUCCAGACUCCUACGGGAGGCAGCAGUGGGGAAUAUUGCACAAUGGGCGCAAGCCUGAUGCAGCCAUGCCGCGUGUAUGAAGAAGGCCUUCGGGUUGUAAAGUACUUUCAGCGGGGAGGAAGGCGGUGAGGUUAAUAACCUUGCCGAUUGACGUUACCCGCAGAAGAAGCACCGGCUAACUCCGUGCCAGCCGCCGCCGUAA